This 567-nucleotide ribosomal RNA is filed under the name uncultured archaeon. Its description in RNAcentral is "bacterial SSU rRNA". It matches the Rfam family "Archaeal small subunit ribosomal RNA", at positions 312 to 879 of the family's 1478-position model. The record is from RNAcentral.
CGCGAUUCGCCCUUCGGGGUGCAGCAGGCGCGAAAACUCUACAAUGCAGGCAACUGCGAUAGGGGAACGUCGAGUGAUCCUCAUAUUGGGGGUCUGUCCACCCGCCUAAAAAGCGGGUGUUAGCAAGGGCCGGGCAAGACCGGUGCCAGCCGCCGCGGUAAUACCGGCGGCUCGAGUGGUGGCCGAUAUUAUUGAGUCUAAAGGGUCCGUAGCCGGCUUUGCAAGUCUCUCGGGAAAUCCAGCGGCUUAACCGUUGGUCGUCCGGGGGGUACUACAUUGCUUGGGACUGGGAGAGGUAGGAGGUACUCAGGGGGUAGGAGUGAAAUCCUGUAAUCCUUUGGGGACCACCGGUGGCGAAGGCGUCCUACCAGAACAGGUCCGACGGUGAGGGACGAAAGCUAGGGGCACGAACCGGAUUAGAUACCCGGGUAGUCCUAGCCGUAAACGAUGCUCGCUAGGUGUCACAACAGUCGUGAACUGUUGUGGUGCCGUAGGGAAGCCGUGAAGCGAGCCACUUGGGAAGUACGACCGCAAGGUUGAAACUUAAAGGAAUUGGCGGGGGAGCAC